UCAAAAUAAAACUUAAUUAUUAAAUAUACUAAACAUAUAAACUACAUUAAGAUUCUAAACCAAAUUUAUAUGAAAAUUAAUUAAAAAGAGAAACAAAACUUCUGACCAAUCAGAAACAUAUACAAGGAUAGCCUUUAUGAGCUGUUGGAUUAACCUAAAUCUAAGGGUGCAUAUUUACUCUUUUAUUUUAUUUUAUUUUAUUUUCUUCUCUCUCUGUGCCGACACCCACAGAUCUUCUUCUUCGUUCUCUCUUUUUUUUUUCUUUUGUAUGAAUCUGUUCCUGUUCUCUUCAUCUUCUUCUUUCUCUUCACUCUCAUUUCUCUAUCUCUCCCAUCUCUCUCCAGAUUGAAAGUUUACUAAUUUCUCUCAUGUUUUUUUUUUUUUAGAUUUGGUCAACAGAUAACAUAUGAAGAUGAUACUGGAGGUGACGAAGACUCGCUGGUGAAGAAGACUCGUCGGUGACGAACGCCGGAGCUCACCGGAGAUGAUGCACAUCGAAGAGUAACCGGGCGCAUGGAGAGGAACCAAUGUAAAUGAGGCAGAAGAAGAAGAUGUAUGGUAGUGGUGCUUAGGGAAGAAUGGUGUGCUAGAGGAGUUGAAGGAGCUCGACAGUGAAGAGUUAGUAGAAGAAGUGUGACAGAGGAGGACACAGAAGAAGCUUUCCGGAGCUAGUGGUGGAGGAACUGGUGGCGACCAUGCGGGAGGAGGAGGAGAGAGCGGCGGCCUAGGGUUAGGAUAGGUUUUUGGUUUAAUAGGUUUGGUUUAGUGUGUUUUGGUUUUUACUUAAUUUUAUUUUAGUCUGGUUAAGUUUUGUAAACCGGAUUCUAUUUGUAAACCAAUUUAAAUUAUAAAUAAAAUUUAAUAUAUUUU
Molecule: long non-coding RNA, 870 nt
Organism: Raphanus sativus (radish)
Lineage: Eukaryota; Viridiplantae; Streptophyta; Magnoliopsida; Brassicales; Brassicaceae
Exons: 2
Source: RefSeq, a predicted model, not a curated record